RNAcentral lists this unclassified non-coding RNA (385 nucleotides) under Hevea brasiliensis (rubber tree). Lineage: Eukaryota; Viridiplantae; Streptophyta; Magnoliopsida; Malpighiales; Euphorbiaceae. The record is from RNAcentral.
GAAACAACUUUCAAAAUUUUGCAAACAAGAAAGAAAAAUGCAAUGAGUAGCUAUAGUGUUGUUAUAAGCCCUAGGCCCUUUUAAGUGGCAAGUGCUAGUGGAGCCUAUGUGAAAGGUGCAAGUUCUAAAAUGUAGAUGCUUGCUUGAGGCUAAGCAUCGCACCUAAGCAAAAUUAGGUGGCAUGUGUUUCAAUAAAACAAGGUUUAUAACCAUGGUUAUCAAAACUAGAUUGGAUCAGUCGGUUGGACUGGUUUAAGCGGGAACCAGACUAAUGACCAGCUUACAUGGUUUUAAAUUGCAUCCACGGCCACGGUCAUGAGUAGCAAAAAUUGGCCUAUAGCGGUUGUAAUAUAAUGGUAACGGCCUAGCGCUAUGCAAAUUUUUU